This 455-nucleotide ribosomal RNA is filed under the name uncultured bacterium. RNAcentral's name for it is "SSU rRNA". It matches the Rfam family "Bacterial small subunit ribosomal RNA", at positions 26 to 518 of the family's 1533-position model. The record is from RNAcentral.
AGAAUCAACGCUGGCGGCGUGCCUAACACAUGCAAGUCGAACGAGAAAGUGGAGCAAUCCAUGAGUAAAGUGGCGCACGGGUGAGUAACACGUGACUAACCUACCUUUUAGUGGGGGAUAACCUAGGGAAACCUGGGCUAAUACCGCAUAAUACUUACGAGUCAAAGCAGCAAUGCGCUGAAAGAGGGGGUCGCGGCCGAUUAGCUAGUUGGCGGGGUAAUGGCCCACCAAGGCAGUGAUCGGUAUCCGGCCUGAGAGGGCGCACGGACACACUGGAACUGAAACACGGUCCAGACUCCUACGGGAGGCAGCAGUGGGGAAUUUUGCGCAAUGGGGGAAACCCUGACGCAGCAACGCCGCGUGGAGGAUGAAGUCCCUUGGGACGUAAACUCUUCGAUCGGGACGAUAAUGACGGUACCGGAGAAGAGCCCGGCUAACGUCGCGCCAGCAGCCGC